This is a non-coding RNA of Pelobates cultripes (western spadefoot toad), 336 nucleotides long. Lineage: Eukaryota; Metazoa; Chordata; Amphibia; Anura; Pelobatidae. The record is from the annotation of a GenBank genome assembly.
AGAAUGUCCAGUGUGAUGUCAGUGGCCUCCUGUGGGGUAUCUGUGCGGGCUUUCCUCUGCUGUGUCCUCUUGCAGGCUUAUGUCUGGUGUGCUUAUAUUUGCCAAGCUGGUCCCUCAUUGCAGGGUCCCCUCAGCUCCCUUGGUGUGACUAAUCCCCUCUGUUCCCCCUCAGGCCUGCUCUGGCUGGUCAUUAGAUGAUUCCACAGUGCUGUGGGCACUCAGGGCUGUCAGCUGCCCGGUAGACUCCCCCCCCGAAAAGUCCUCGGGCCCCUCGUCCCCUGCACCUCCCCAGCUUCUGCAGUUCCUCGUUGGAGCUCCAGCCCCAUUAGGCCUCAC